GAUGAACGCUGGCGGCGUGCCUAAUACAUGCAAGUCGAGCGAACGUACGAGAAGCUUGCUUCUCUGAUGUCAGCGGCGGACGGGUGAGUAACACGUGGAUAACCUACCUAUAAGACUGGGAUAACUUCGGGAAACCGGAGCUAAUACCGGAUGAUAUUUUGAACCGCAUGGUUCAAAAGUGAAAGACGGUCUUGCUGUCACUUAUAGAUGGAUCCGCGCUGCAUUAGCUAGUUGGUAAGGUAACGGCUUACCAAGGCAACGAUGCAUAGCCGACCUGAGAGGGUGAUCGGCCACACUGGAACUGAGACACGGUCCAGACUCCUACGGGAGGCAGCAGUAGGGAAUCUUCCGCAAUGGGCGAAAGCCUGACGGAGCAACGCCGCGUGAGUGAUGAAGGACUUCGGAUCGUAAAACUCUGUUAUUAGGGAAGAGCAUAUGUGUAAGUAACUGUGCACAUCUUGACGGUACCUAAUCAGAAAGCCACGGCUAACUACGUG
Molecule: ribosomal RNA, 497 nt
Filed under: uncultured bacterium
Lineage: Bacteria
Description: partial 16S ribosomal RNA
Rfam family: Bacterial small subunit ribosomal RNA
Source: RNAcentral